UCUGCCCCGAAAGCCGGCCCCUCUACCCCGCCAUGACCUCCUGCCUGCCCCGGCCGCAGGCCACCCUCUAUCUCCGGGCCGAGCUUCCCGCCGAGCCCCACGCCAUCCCCUACCUCCCCGGGCCCCACACCUGGCCCUCCCUGGUCCUGGCCGACAGCCCGCCGCAGGCCCCCAUCGUCAUCCCCGGGGAGCCCCCGCCGCAGCCGCCCGUCGUCGUGCCCCCCGACGACCCCCCCAAGCACCCCGCGGUGGUCCACCCGGACCCCGUAAAGAAGCCCACCAUCUUCUGGAUGGAGGAGCCCGCUCCCAACCUCCCCUCCAUCAUGGGCGUCCCGACCCGCCCCAAGCAGCCCCUGCGUCUGCCCACCCCGGGGAGGCGCAGCAGGUCGGAGCCCCGAAGUUCGAAGCCCCUUCUCCUAAUGCGGGACGCUGCUGCUCCGGCUCCCGACAGCUCGGGAACCCCUCCUUCUCCCGCUCCCGACAGCUCUACGGCCCUUCUUUCACCCGCCCCCGACAGCUCAGGGACCCCUCCUUCUCCCGCCCCCGACAGCUCGGGGACCCUUCCUGCCCCCACCCCCGACAGCUCUGCAACCCCUCCUUCCCCCGCCCCAGACAGCUCAGGGACCCUCCUUUCCCUCGCCCCCGACAGCUCAGCGAUACCUCCUUCCCCCUCACCUGCCAACUCGGUGAUCCGCCUUUCUCCCGCCCCCGACAGCUCUGCGCCCCUUCCUUCCCCGGUCCCCGACAGCUCUGCGCCCCUUCCUUCAGCCCCAGACAGCUCUGUCGCAACUCCUUCCCUGGCUCCCCACAGCUCCGCCACCCCUCCUUCCGUCCCCGACAGCUCUGUGACCCCUCCUUCCCUGGCCCCCGACAGCUCUGCGAGCCCGCCUUCCAUCCCCGACAGCUCGGGGACCCUUCUUUCCCCAGCCCCGGACAGCUCGAUGGCCCCACCUUUCCCCGCCCCCGACAGCUCGGUGAACCCUUUUUUCCCUGCCCCCGACAGCUCGGUGACCCCUCCUUCCGCCCCCGACAGCUCGGGGACCCCUUACAGUUCUGGGUCCCCCCCCAGCCGAGGCUCCAGCAUUGCCUCCAGGGGCCACUUGGGGACUCCUGCUGCUCCCCACCUGGUGCUCACUCCCGGGAGUCGCUCGGAAACCCCUCCCAGUUUCCGCGCAGUGCUCACCUCCGGGAGUCACUGGGUAAACCAUUCUAGUCCCCACCCCGUGCUCACCUCCGGGAGUCACUCGGGGAGUCCUCCUAGUCCCCGGGCUGUGCUCAUAUUCAGGAGUCACUCGGGGAGUCGUCCUAGUCCCCGGGCCGUGCUCACCUCCGGGAGUCGCAAGGGGAGUCCUCCUAGUCCCCGCGCCGUGCUCACCUCCAGGAGGCCCUCGGGGAGCCCUCCGAGUCACGCGGGGAGUCCUCCUAGUCCCCGAGCUGUGCUCAGACCUGGGAAUGUGAGGACCCCUCCUGGUUCUCAAGCCGGGCUCCCCUCUGAGAAUUAUUUGUCGACAUCUGUCUCGGGGACUCCUCCUAGCCUGCGCGCGCUCAUGGCUUCUAGAGGCGGUCUGGAGCCCCCUCCUCACCCCAAAAGACUCAGCAUCUCAGGGGGACCCGCGAAGCCCCCUUCUCAUCCGGGGGGCCUUAGCAUCUUUAGGAAGCGUCUGGAAGCCCCUGCUCCCCCGCAAACCCUCAGCGUCUCUGGGAGUCGUCCAGAGCCCCUUCCUCGGGCCAAAGCCCCCACUUUAAAAUCCCUCCUCAAGCGCCCCAACAAGGUGACGGAGGCUUUGGCGGCUGAGGCCGCCCGGCCCUACUGGAUCACUGUCCUGAAGAACCACAGGGACCCUGGCCCCAAGACGGAGCCUUUGGUUUACCCCUCCCUCCUCAAGGCUGAUCCUCCUCCUCCUCUGCCCUUCAUCAUAGUGUCUGAGCCCCAACAAACUCCACCCCCUUUCUUCAAGAGUGAGCCUCAGAUGCCCGUUCCCUCUAACGUCAGUUCUGAGGGUCUUCCUUGCCCCCCCAUCUUCUAUAUUGAGCCUUCAGUUCGCGUCCCCCCCAUCAUCAGGUUCGAGUCCCCCAUCCUCAGACCUGAGACUCCUCCCGACUCCUCCAGUUCAGAGCCUCUUCCCGACUCCUCCAAUAGCUCUGAGCCUACUCCUGACUCCUCUAGUUCUGAGCCUACUCUCGACUCCAUCAGCAGGGCUGAGCCUCCUCCAGACUCCAUCAUCACCAGGGAUGAGCCUCCUCCCGACUUCUCCAUUGGCUCUGAGCCGCCUCCUGACUCCAUCACCAGGGCUGAGCCGCCUCCUGACUCCAUCUCUAAGCUGGAUUCUUCCAUCACCUCUGAGCCUACUUCUGACAACCCCAUGAGCUCUGAGCCGCCUCCUGACUCCAUCCCCAAGGCUGAGCCUCCUCCCGACUCCUCCAUCCCCUCUGAGCUUUCUCCUGACUCCCCCAUCACCUCUGAACCUCCUCCCGACUCCCCCAUCACCUCUGAACCUCCUCCCGAUGCCAUCACCUCUGAGCCUCCUCCCGAUUCUCCCAUCAUCAGCUCUGAACCCGAUUCUUCCAUCAAUUCUAAGCCUACUUCUGACUCCAAUGCUGAGCCUCCUCCCAACUCCGCCAUCAUCAGCUCUGAGCCCCCUCCUGACUCUCCCAUCAUCAGCUCUGAGCUUCCUCCUGACUCCAUUUCCAAGACUAAACUUUCUCUUGAUCCUUUUAUCAACAGCUUUGAGCCCUCUUCAAGCCAUUAGUUUUGAACCCCUUAUUCCUCUCCCCUCAUCUCUGAACCCUCUCUUCACCCCACUCUCCCAUCAACAGCUCUCAGCUCCCUUCUUACCCCAAUCAGGAUCUCCUCUCCGGUUCCUCCAUCAGCUACAUUAGCUUUGAGCUAAUUUAUCCUCCCUCUCUUCUAUUGCCUCUGAUCCCCCUCCCUAUACCACACUUAUUAUACCUCUGGGCCCCCUUUUCUCCUCCCUUCCAUCAUUAGCUCUGAACCCCCUAUUCCUUUACAACCAUCAUUGAUCCUGAGCCCCCUCCUCACCCCUCCAUAAGUUCUCAGCCUCUUUUCCAUUCCUUAUUAUCAGAUCUUAACCCCUUAAUUAGUUUUGAGCCCCUUUUCAGAACUUUACUUUUUCCUGUACUAAGCACUGAGCCUGAAAGACCCUAGUCCUCCCUGUUCUAGGCCUCGUCUUCUCUAACUCUGAGCCCCCUUUUUCUCACUAUCUUUAUUCCCCUCAGCUUUGAGCCAGUCCUCAGGACCCCUGAGACCCCUUUAGCUCUGAGCCCUCUUUUCAUCUUCUUCUCCCAGCUCCAAAUAGACAUUUUCUAGCCUCCUUAAACACAAAUUGCCCCUACCCUAGCUCUGAGCUUCAUGUCCCCCCCUUGCUCAGAUUAGCCUUUCCAGCUCCAAUUCCCAUUCUUCCCUUUCAACAUUGCCCCAUUUUCCAAGUCUCUCUUGCUCCUAUCCUUGCAUGGCCCUGUUCCCCCUUGGCAGAGACACAGAAGGUGUUGAGCUGCAGUCAACAAGACUCGCUUCCUGGUGCUGACAUGCAUUCAGCUCCCCAAGUGAAGAUCCCAGCUAGAGAGAUGGUGUCGCUUAAUAAGAAGUCCGUGACAUUCAAGGAUGUUGCUGUGGAUUUCACCGAGGAGGAAUGGAGACGCCUGAACCCUGCUCAGAGGCAGCUGUACAGGGAUGUGAUGCUGGAGAACUACAGAAACCUAAUUUUUCUAGAUUGGGAGACUAAUCCUGAAACCAAGGAGUUGACUCCAAAACUAGACAUGUCUGUGGAAGAGUUGUCCCUGCAAAGCUUCACAAAGAUUAGUCCCCAUGACCACAGGUUGGGAGAUACCUGGGAAUAUGGUGUCAAGUUUGAGGGACAGCAGGACAAGCUAGAGAAAGAUUCCGUACAAGUAACAGUCACCCAAAGAAAAGUUCCUAAUAAACUGAGGAGCCACGAAUGUAACAAAUUUGGAAGAAGCUUUAAUUUUGGGUCAGUCCUUGUUCCACCCCAGAAAAUUCCUAUGAAAAAGAGUUUGCGUAAAUAUACUCCAUAUGGAAGAAGCCUCAAACAGUAUUCCAGCUUGAUGAAAUGUAGUAGAAUCUCCUCUGAAACUUGUAAGGGUAAUGAGUCAAGCAAAGUCUUCUGUUACUAUUCAGACUUUCAUCAAAAUCAUACAGUACAGAUGGGGAAAAAAGCUUAUAAAUAUGAAAGUGAAAAGGCAUUUAGCCAGAAUAUACACAUCACUCAGAAUCAGAGAAUUAGUCCUGGACAAAAGUCUUAUACAUGUUAUGAACCUGCUCAGGUCUUUGCCCACAACGCAUCCUUCACUACACAUCUGAAAGUCCAUAUUGGAGAGAAACCUUAUAAAUGUAAUGACUGUGGGAAAAUCUUUGGCUACAUUUCAUCCCUUAUUAAUCAUCGGAGAAUACAUACUGAAGAGAAGCCCUAUGCGUGUAAUUCCUGCGGAAAGUCUUUCAGAGAUAGGUCAUACCUUACUCAACACCAGAGAAUUCACACUGGAGAGAAACCCUAUAAGUGUGAUGAAUGUGGAAAAGUAUUUAUACGAGGUACACAUCUUACUCGACACCAGAGAAUCCACACUGGAGAGAAACCCUAUCAUUGUAAUGAAUGUGGAAAAGCCUUCAAUCAGAGCACACACCUUAUUCAGCACCAGAGAAUUCAUACUGGGGAGAAACCCUAUAAAUGUAACAUAUGUGGAAAAGCCUUCAGCCAGAGCGCUUACGUUGUUCAGCAUCAGAGACGUCACACGGGAGAGUACCCCCAUAAAUGUGACGAAUGUGGGAAAGCUUUUAGCCAAAGAUCAUCUCUCAUUGAGCAUCAGAGAAUCCAUACUGGAGAGAAACCCUGUGUGUGCAACGAAUGUGGCAGAGCAUUUAGGAGUUACCCAUCUCUUACUAAACAUCAGAGAAUUCAUACCGGAGAGAAGCCCUAUUUGUGUAAUGAAUGUGGGAAAGCCUUUAGCCGAAGUGCUUACCUUACUCAACAUCAAAGAAUUCAUACUGGAGAGAAGCCCUUUAAUUGUAUUGAAUGUGGGAAAAGCUUCAUCCGGAGUGCACACCUUAUUGAACACAAAAGAAUUCACACUGGAGAGAAACCCUAUGAAUGCAGUGUAUGUGGAAAAGCCUUCAGCAAUCGCUCAUCUGUCACUAAACAUCAAAAAAUUCACACUCAAGGAAAACACUAUGAAUGCUGUGAGUGUGGAAACACUUUUAUUAAGAAAUCAUUACUUAUUCAACAUCGAAAACUCCACCUUGGAAAGUAAUUGUAAAUACAGACUAUGGGAAAGUUUCAGCCACAGCAACCAUUAACUAUGUAUAUUCAUGAGAGAAUUCACACUGUCAGAAAUCUCCAUUGAUGAAAUGAAUAUUGGAUAGGCUUCCGAUGCAGAUAAUCAUUUGAAAAUUCAAGACUAAAGAAUAAUCGUGGGAUUCUAAAGAUUUAUGAUCUUGUUGAUGUGGGUACUUUUCCUGAUGUAGAUGUUAAUAUUGCCCUACUUUAAUACAGUUUAUAUGAUAGAAAGAACCUCGUUUAUAUAGUCAGGAUUUUGCUCAGUCAUUUUUUGUCACGUCUGCUACUUCAUGACCCCACUUGGGUUUUCUGGGAAAAAAGAAUAUGUGGGUUCAAAUCACAGUUCUUCUAUUUUCUGUUUUCAUGACCUUCAGCAAUCCCUUCCCCCCUCUGAGCCUCAGUUUCCUCACAUGAUGGGGGUGGACUAGAUGAACUCUUAAGGUUUCUUGAAGAUCUAAAUUCUGUGAUCCUAUGAAUUGUCAUGGUCAAAAACCAAAUCAUUACCUGCUGUCGAGCUUCUGGUGAUGAACCUGCUUAUGCUUAAGUAGGCUGGUCCUUGGAUUGCAAACCCAUCUUGGAUCACAUGAUUGUCCCCUACUCAAAGGAAUUCCAACUUAAUCAGAGCUGCCAAAGCUUGUGUUCCUCUGAUAUGUCUAUCCAGGGUCACCUCCACAUCGCGCUGAGUCGCCAGAGUAGGAUGUACGUGUUACCAUCCUGAUGUAUUGGGGGAGGAUUGGUGGAAGUGCAAUGGUAAUAAUACUCUGGGAGAAAUUUCACCUCAGUUGUUUGUUUUUUACUUGUAAAAAUGUUUUGAGCGGUUGUCAGGUCUCCCUUAUAAUCCCUGUGGCUUCUGUGUCAUGUCUCCACAUGUAAUGCUACUCUUAUUUCAGGCUUGUGUCGCCACUUGCUUGGACUAUUAUAAUGACUGUCUUAGCUGGUCUUCCAGCUUCCAGAGUCUUCCCUCUCCCUUCUGUUGCCAAAAACUUAUUUUCCCAUGGCUUAGAACUGAAGCUUAAGAAGCUUCGUGUCUCCUUAUUGCCCCUGAGAUCAAAUACAGAUUUACCCUGAUAUUUGUCGUCCUCGAUAUGGCUCUAACCUACUUUUCCCGCUUUACACCAGUGUUCAUUCUACUUUUUAUUUCUUCCCUUUACACACCAUAGGGACACAUAACACUUUCUAAACCUUAAUUUCUUUUUCCUGACACUCAAUACUGACUGUCUCCUAAACCUGGAAUAUACUGUUUUUCCAGCUUCUUUAAAAUUAGCUCAGGGGCAGCCACUCUGGAAAACUUCCUUGGAUCUUUUCAACUGAAAAGCCCUUCUUCCUUCCUUCCUUCCUUCUUCCUUCUUUAAAGUUCUCUAGAGCCCAGAUGGGGUCUUCCAAUUGAAUGUAGGGAUCACAAAGUGAUGAUUUAUUAUCAGUAAAUGUUUGAUUUGUAUACAUGUUUGAUGUACCUGUAUAUCUGGGGUCGUGGAAAAUGUCUUGGGUGAAAAGGGGUCACGAAUGGAAAAAGUCCUGCUCUAGAGUACUUUAUCCUUGACUAUAAAUAUCUCAUUCUACCCAAUCUCUAGCAGAAUGCAAGCUUUGAGUAUAAGAACUUUCGGGUUUUUUCCCCCUUUAACUUUUGGGUUUUUCCCCCUUUACUCUCUAGCAUCUCAGUGCCUUACACAGUGCCUUGCACAUAGUAGGUGCUUAAUAAAAUUUAGUUGAGUUAACUCAGAUAUUUUUAAAAUGGCCUUACCCCAUUUUGCUUCCCUUUUCUUAAAUUAUUAUAAUUUUAUCAUUGAAGUACUUUUAACUUGAACCAUCUAGGAAAAAGUAUGGUCUUUGGAAGGAAAUGUCGGAGCAGAGUGAAGGCCAGGGGUCUGCACCUUGGUGACUGGAAGGGGUAGAGUUUAGGAUUGAGCAUCUGGGGUAAGGGUUAGCUAGUGCCUCUCAGUACAUCCCAUGGUGCAACCUUUACCUGUGAGAGUGACCCUCGUCAAAGCCCUUGAAUUCCUACUUGAGGUGGAAGGGAUCUUGGAUUACAAGCCCACUCCUCCACGACUGACAGAUGUGAGACAAGGGUCUGGGUCUCUUAGCGAUGGCUGAUGAUGCUUUAAGGUUUCCCACUCUCACCAGCGCGCUCCCUCACACUUGGGAAGUAGAGUUCUCUAUUUGGGUCCAUUUACAGAGGAGGAAGCUGAGACAUGAGAAGGGGAGGGACUUCUGUUGGGUGACGCAGCUGCAACUGGAACAACUGAACAACCGAUGCUCCUCUCUUGCCUUCUAG
This 7581-nucleotide long non-coding RNA is filed under the name Sarcophilus harrisii (Tasmanian devil). RNAcentral's name for it is "lncRNA (ENSSHAG00000024870.1)". Lineage: Eukaryota; Metazoa; Chordata; Mammalia; Dasyuromorphia; Dasyuridae. The record is from RNAcentral.